AACAAAGACAGACGCUCAUUUGCAUCCUCAUGAGCCUUGAUAAGUUGUAUGUUGAGAGCCUUAACUUCCUCACUGGGUGAGGCAUUUGUCUUCAGCAGCCUUUCAUUUUCAUCCCUCAACUUUUGCAACACCUGCUCAUUUCCAUCGCUGGUACCAGGUCCCCUCGAAACCGCCUUCUGUAAUUCAGACCUCAGUGAAGCGAUUUCAA
This 208-nucleotide long non-coding RNA is filed under the name Solanum tuberosum (potato). RNAcentral's name for it is "long non-coding RNA (STUB_LNC006189)". The record is from RNAcentral. Lineage: Eukaryota; Viridiplantae; Streptophyta; Magnoliopsida; Solanales; Solanaceae.